GAGUUUGAUCGUGGCUCAGAAUGAACGCUGGCGGCGUGCUUUACACAUGCAAGUCGAGCGAGGCGUCCCGCAAGGGAUAGUCGAGCGGCGAACGGGGUGAGUAACGCGUGGAUAACCUGCCCUGAGGUGGGGGAUAACCAAGGGAAACUUUGGCGUAAUACCGCAUGAUACCGAGAGGUCAAAGGGGGCUCGCAAGGGCUCUCGCCAGUAGGAGGGGUCCGCGUACGAUUAGCUAGUUGGUAGGGUAAUGGCCUACCAAGGCGACGAUCGUUAGCCGGCCUGAGAGGGUGAUCGGCCACACUGGAACUGAGACACGGUCCAGACUCCUACGGGAGGCAGCAGUGGGGAAUUUUGCGCAAUGGGGCUAACGCCUGACGCAGUCAACGCCGCGUGGAGGAUGAAGGUCCUUGGAUUGUAAACUCCUGUCAGCAGGGAAAAAGCGAAUCGGUCUAAUACACCGGUGAGUUGAUUGUACCUGCAGAGGAAGCCCGGCUAACUCUGUGCCAGCCGCCGCCGU
RNAcentral lists this ribosomal RNA (517 nucleotides) under uncultured bacterium. RNAcentral describes it as "bacterial SSU rRNA". It matches the Rfam family "Bacterial small subunit ribosomal RNA", at positions 9 to 521 of the family's 1533-position model. The record is from RNAcentral.